UACGAAGGGGGCUAGCGUUGUUCGGAAUUACUGGGCGUAAAGCGCGCGCAGGCGGUCCUUUAAGUCAGGGGUGAAAGCCCAGAGCUCAACUCUGGAACUGCCUUUGAAACUAGAGGACUUGGGUACGGGAGAGGUGAGUGGAAUUCCGAGUGUAGAGGUGAAAUUCGUAGAUAUUCGGAAGAACACCAGUGGCGAAGGCGGCUCACUGGCCCGUUACCGACGCUCAGGCGCGAAAGCGUGGGGAGCAAACAGG
This 253-nucleotide ribosomal RNA is filed under the name uncultured bacterium. Its description in RNAcentral is "partial 16S ribosomal RNA". It matches the Rfam family "Bacterial small subunit ribosomal RNA", at positions 524 to 776 of the family's 1533-position model. The record is from RNAcentral.